GACGGUUGUGGGAUUGUUCGAUGGCCUUGGAAUCACUAUGUCGGUUUAGUCGAUGACGGGUUGAGGUGUUCGUCCCCCCUUGGACACCUAGAUGGCAAGAUGAGAACCCGUUAUCGAAGCAGAGGUGACCCGAUCGACGUGGUCACCCGUUGUCCCGAUUGACUGUUUCGAUUUUGUUGGCAACGAUGGACCGGCCCGAUUGACGGUUUCAAUUUGUGGGAAACGAUGGACUGACCCGAUUGACGGUUUUGAUUUUCGCAUCGUGCGGUGCUUUCCUUGGAACGAAUUUCGGCUAUAGGUUGCAUUUUUGGCCUUUGUGCUAGGGAUGUGGCUAUUAGUUGGGUGGUUUUAGGGAUUGUUGAUCGUAAAGGUGCAUGAGUUGUGUUUGGUUUGUUACGUGUCGUUGGCUGUCUGCUUGUGCAGCAACGUCGACACGGGCAGACUUUUUCAUUUAUUGUGAAAGCAUAUGCUUUGCUUUCACAUGUUGUGGGUUUCUUGCAUUGUGUUCCUAAAUUGUGGCAUUUUAUGGUUUGAACGAUGUGUCUUUGAUCAUGUCACUCAUAUGGGGUGCCAUGUGAAAAAGCAUGAAGCUGUCUCUUUGAUCCACUUCGUCUUUGUCUUUGCAUUGAUGUUGUGGCCCGUUGAGAAAGCUGGUCUCAUGGAUGCAGAGCCUCACUCGGUGAUUUGGUUUUAUUGACCAAUUCGGUUGCCAUAACUAGAUGUUUUUGCCUCUCCUUUAUAUGACGGUCCAUUGUG
Molecule: unclassified non-coding RNA, 756 nt
Filed under: Gorceixia decurrens
Lineage: Eukaryota; Viridiplantae; Streptophyta; Magnoliopsida; Asterales; Asteraceae
Description: partial external transcribed spacer
Source: RNAcentral